Molecule: ribosomal RNA, 468 nt
Filed under: uncultured bacterium
Lineage: Bacteria
Description: partial 16S ribosomal RNA
Rfam family: Bacterial small subunit ribosomal RNA
Source: RNAcentral
GACGAACGCUGGCGGCGUGCUUAACACAUGCAAGUCGAACGGAAAGGCCCUGCUUUUGUGGGGUGCUCGAGUGGCGAACGGGUGAGUAACACGUGAGUAACCUGCCCUUGACUUUGGGAUAACUUCAGGAAGCUGGGGCUAAUACCGGAUAGGAGCUCCUGCUGCAUGGUGGGGGUUGGAAAGUUUCGGCGGUUGGGGAUGGACUCGCGGCUUAUCAGCUUGUUGGUGGGGUAGUGGCUUACCAAGGCUUUGACGGGUAGCCGGCCUGAGAGGGUGACCGGCCACAUUGGGACUGAGAUACGGCCCAGACUCCUACGGGAGGCAGCAGUGGGGAAUAUUGCACAAUGGGCGGAAGCCCGAUGCAGCAACGCCGCGUGCGGGAUGACGGCCUUCGGGUUGUAAACCGCUUUCGCCUGUGACGAAGCGUGAGUGACGGUAAUGGGUAAAGAAGCACCGGCUAACUACGUG